UGCCAGCAGCCUCGGUAAUACUGAGUGGGUUAUCUUGGUUCGGAAUUACUGGGCGUAAAGCGUACGUAGGCGGACUGAUCAGUCAGAGGUGAAAUCCCAGGGCUCAACCCUGGAACUGCCUUUGAUACUGUCAGUCUUGAGUUCGAGAGAGGUGAGUGGAAUUCCAAGUGUAGAGGUGAAAUUCGUAGAUAUUUGGAGGAACACCAGUGGCGAAGGCGGCUCACUGGCUCGAUACUGACGCUGAGGUACGAAAGUGUGGGGAGCAAACAGGAUUAGAUA
This 279-nucleotide ribosomal RNA is filed under the name uncultured bacterium. RNAcentral's name for it is "partial 16S ribosomal RNA". It matches the Rfam family "Bacterial small subunit ribosomal RNA", at positions 506 to 784 of the family's 1533-position model. The record is from RNAcentral.